RNAcentral lists this ribosomal RNA (279 nucleotides) under uncultured bacterium. RNAcentral's name for it is "partial 16S ribosomal RNA". It matches the Rfam family "Bacterial small subunit ribosomal RNA", at positions 506 to 784 of the family's 1533-position model. The record is from RNAcentral.
UGCCAGCCGCCGCGGUAAUACGGAGGGGGUUAGCGUUGUUCGGAAUUACUGGGCGUAAAGCGUACGUAGGCGGAUUAAUAAGUUAGAGGUGAAAUCCCAGGGCUCAACCCUGGAACUGCCUUUAAAACCGUUAGUCUUGAGAUCGAGAGAGGUGAGUGGAAUUCCAAGUGUAGAGGUGAAAUGCGUAGAUAUUCGGAGGAACACCAAUUGCGAAGGCAGUUCACUGGACCGUGAUCGACGCUGAGGAGCGAAAGCUAGGGGAGCAAACAGGAUUAGAUA